This 253-nucleotide ribosomal RNA is filed under the name uncultured bacterium. RNAcentral's name for it is "partial 16S ribosomal RNA". It matches the Rfam family "Bacterial small subunit ribosomal RNA", at positions 524 to 776 of the family's 1533-position model. The record is from RNAcentral.
UACGUAGGGACCAAGCGUUGUUCGGAUUUACUGGGCGUAAAGGGCGCGUAGGCGGCUUGUCAAGUCACUUGUGAAAUCUCCGGGCUUAACUCGGAAAGGUCAACUGAUACUGUGCGACUAGAGUGCAGAAGGGGCAACUGGAAUUCUCGGUGUAGCGGUGAAAUGCGUAGAUAUCGAGAGGAACACCUGCGGCGAAGGCGGGUUGCUGGGCUGACACUGACGCUGAUGCGCGAAAGCCAGGGGAGCGAACGGG